Molecule: long non-coding RNA, 696 nt
Filed under: Urocitellus parryii (Arctic ground squirrel)
Lineage: Eukaryota; Metazoa; Chordata; Mammalia; Rodentia; Sciuridae
Description: lncRNA (ENSUPAG00010014873.1)
Source: RNAcentral
UUCAACCCGUGUACUUCAAAACAAAGCAGUGGCAAACUAAAUAGCUCAAAUGUAGCUCUGACAUUUUUUUUUCUGAAUACUCCUGUCUUCUACAUGUCCUGCUUUGCAUUCAGCUGCUCCUAUAGGAGACAAGGUCAAAGAGAAGAUCAGAGGAUUAAACUUAGGGAAGUUCAAGAGCUUGAUGCCUGUAGGUUUGGAUAUCUGAAAGACUAUACUCCAGAGAAGAAAGUUGUAUCCUCAGAUAUUGGAAGGGCCAUCUAGCUGAAUGCUACAUCAAGCCUUUUCGAUGAGGAUUUUUAUCCCAUUCAAGGAGAGUAGAAYUCUUGGCCUAGUYACCUUUUAAUACUAUCACAUUGGCAAAACCUGACUUUUUUUUUAUUAGUGCAUUAGUCAUACAUAAUAGUGAGGUUCAUUUUGAAAUAUUCAUACAUGUACAUAAUGUAAUUUGUGCCAAUUCAAUAUCCAGAAUUUUACCCUUUUUUUCACUUUUUCCCUCCCCAUGAUCCCCUCUCGUCUACUCUAUUGGCAUUCCUUUUAGUUAUUUAUUUUUUUUAAAUUUAGUGUGUUAAACAUAAAAUAAUUUACUGUGAAGUAUUCAUACAUGCACAGAGUAUAGUAUAGUCACUUUAGUUCUUCUCCUUUCUCAUCACCUUUCCCUCUUCCUCCCUUUCUACUGUUCUACUCUUCUCCCUUUUU